RNAcentral lists this ribosomal RNA (136 nucleotides) under Legionella micdadei. RNAcentral describes it as "Tatlockia micdadei partial 16S ribosomal RNA". It matches the Rfam family "Bacterial small subunit ribosomal RNA", at positions 376 to 505 of the family's 1533-position model. Lineage: Bacteria; Pseudomonadati; Pseudomonadota; Gammaproteobacteria; Legionellales; Legionellaceae. The record is from RNAcentral.
GGGAACCCNNAUCCAGCAAUGCCGCGUGUGUGAAGAAGGCCUAAGGGUUGUAAAGCACUUUCAGUGGGGAGGAGGGNUNAUAGGUUAAGAGCUAAUUAUCUGGACGUUACCCACAGAAGAAGCACCGGUNACUCCG